AUCCAACUGUCGAGUCCCAAAUAGAACGGAACGCGAGUACUGGAU
Schistosoma mattheei is the source of this 45-nucleotide non-coding RNA. The record is from Rfam. Lineage: Eukaryota; Metazoa; Platyhelminthes; Trematoda; Strigeidida; Schistosomatidae.